ACAAAUAUUAUAUUAUAUCAUAUAUAUAUAUAGGGUCCAGUACGAUCGCCCUCGUACUGAGUUGUUUUCGAUAAUAAAGCUUUCGAAUCGACGAUUCACACCGUUAACGUUAUUUACAUCAUUUAAAACUUCUAGAAAUCAAAUUUUAUAAUUUUUCGACAUCAUUUACCUUACGAUCAAGAAGUCACAAAUUUGACAAUUUUUAACGGUCGGUAUGGGAUACUUGCUAGUUUAAUAGUGUAAAAGAAUCAGAAUUUAUUGAAUUUUUUAUAGAAAAUUCUAUUCACUACAUAGAUAAAGAUCAAUAACUCUAAUCUUGAAUUGAAGGAUCCGAUCAUUCUUUUUUAGGACGUCGUUCGAUUUUUACCGUUCAUUUUAUGCCCACUUGAUGGGUUUUAUUAUGAUUUCGAAAAUUUACGAAAUUUAUUUUUUAGAACUUUCAAAUACUCUAGAUCAUAUUUAACGGAGUGGAUCGUCGAUUCGGAAGCUCGAUCAUCGAAAACAACUUAUGAUUACGAUGGCUCUAAUACUCAUAAUAGUAUAGUAGCCAUAGCCUAUAUAUAUAUAUAUAUAUAUAUAUAUAUAGAGCGUCUGGUAUGCUUAUGGAAGCACGGAGCGCUCNUUGGUACUAUUGAGUUUUCGGCCGUUGAAUGAAAGGAUGUGCGGUUAGGAUAAUAGUGAUUCCCGGUUAAAUUGAUAGUGGUCCCCUAGGGUUGAGUGGGUGGUUGGUUUAAUAGUAUAAUCUAACGGGUGAAAAUAAUCAAAUGGUAGAUCUAACGGUAGAAAACUCAAUAGUACCAAGGGCUUGGUACUAUCAAUAGUAUAGUAGCCGGACCAUAUAUAUAUAUAUGGUCCGGCUACUAUACUAUUAUGAGUACGAUCGCCCUCGUACUCAUAAGUUGUUUUCAAUGAUCGAGCUUCCGAAUCGACGAUCCACACCGUUAAACGUUAUUUACAGUAUUUAAAAUUUCUAGAAAUCAAAUUUUAUAAUUUUUCGACAUCAUUUACCUUAUGAUCAAGAGGUCACAAAUUUGAUAAUUUUUAACGGCCGGUAUAGGGUACUUGCUAGUUUAACGGUGUAAAAGAAUCGAAAUUUGUUGAAUUUUUGAUAGAAAAUUCUAUUCACUACAUAGAUAAAGAUCAAUAACUCCGAUCUUGAAUUGAAGGAUA
Molecule: long non-coding RNA, 1170 nt
Filed under: Ananas comosus (pineapple)
Lineage: Eukaryota; Viridiplantae; Streptophyta; Magnoliopsida; Poales; Bromeliaceae
Description: long non-coding RNA (ACOM_LNC002437)
Source: RNAcentral